RNAcentral lists this unclassified non-coding RNA (228 nucleotides) under Zea mays. RNAcentral describes it as "misc RNA Zm00001eb119600". Lineage: Eukaryota; Viridiplantae; Streptophyta; Magnoliopsida; Poales; Poaceae. The record is from RNAcentral.
CUGACAUGUGACAUGAGGAGUCCGGCAUUACCUGUUACCUCGUCGACGACGACAGGGUUCUCACAGAGCCAAGAGGAUCAGGUACACAGCGCGCUCUCGGGGAGAGGCAUUUCGCCGAACGCCUUCGGCUCGUCCAGUGUGCCCGACGCGCCCGACGUCAGUCACGCCGGGUGCAGCGUGCCCGGCAUCGCCCACGGCACCAGAUCCACCGGCUUCAACCAUCGAUAG